Molecule: transfer RNA, 76 nt
Filed under: Acidobacteriota bacterium
Lineage: Bacteria; Pseudomonadati; Acidobacteriota
Also listed under: 1 other name
Description: Acidobacteria bacterium tRNA-Glu
Rfam family: tRNA
About the family: Transfer RNA (tRNA) molecules are approximately 80 nucleotides in length. Their secondary structure includes four short double-helical elements and three loops (D, anti-codon, and T loops).
Source: RNAcentral
GGCGCUAUGGUGCAGCGGUUCAGCACGCCGCCCUCUCACGGCGGAAACACGGGUUCGAUUCCCGUUAGCGCUACCA